This 435-nucleotide ribosomal RNA is filed under the name uncultured bacterium. RNAcentral's name for it is "partial 16S ribosomal RNA". It matches the Rfam family "Bacterial small subunit ribosomal RNA", at positions 29 to 507 of the family's 1533-position model. The record is from RNAcentral.
AGCGAACGCUGGCGGCAGGCUUAACACAUGCAAGUCGAGCGGGCACUUUCGGGUGUCAGCGGCGGACGGGUGCGUAACGCGUGGGAACGUGCCCUCUGGUUCGGAAUAACUCAGGGAAACUUGAGCUAAUACCGGAUACGCCCUUUUGGGGAAAGGCUUGCUGCCGGAGGAUCGGCCCGCGUCUGAUUAGCUAGUUGGUGAGGUAACGGCUCACCAAGGCGACGAUCAGUAGCUGGUCUGAGAGGAUGAUCAGCCACACUGGGACUGAGACACGGCCCAGACUCCUACGGGAGGCAGCAGUGGGGAAUAUUGGACAAUGGGCGCAAGCCUGAUCCAGCCAUGCCGCGUGAGUGAUGAAGGCCUUAGGGUUGUAAAGCUCUUUUAUCCGGGACGAUAAUGACGGUACCGGAGGAAUAAGCCCCGGCUAACUUCGAG